RNAcentral lists this unclassified non-coding RNA (383 nucleotides) under uncultured Actinomycetes bacterium. RNAcentral describes it as "uncultured actinobacterium contains 16S-23S intergenic spacer region". The record is from RNAcentral. Lineage: Bacteria; Bacillati; Actinomycetota; Actinomycetes.
UCCGAGUUGACCCCGGCAGUCUCCCAUGAGUCCCCAGCACCCCGAAGGGCCCGCUGGCAACAUGGAACGAGGGUUGCGCUCGUUGCGGGACUUAACCCAACAUCUCACGACACGAGCUGACGACAGCCAUGCACCACCUGUACACCAGUAUCAAAGAGACCCCUAUCUCUAGAGGCUUCCGGCGUAUGUCAAACCCAGGUAAGGUUCUUCGCGUUGCAUCGAAUUAAUCCGCAUGCUCCGCCGCUUGUGCGGGCCCCCGUCAAUUUCUUUGAGUUUUAACCUUGCGGCCGUACUCCCCAGGCGGAUGACUUAACGCGUUAGCUGCGCCACCGAAACCCUAAGGGCCCCGACAGCUAGUCAUCAUCGUUUACGGCGUGGACUAC